Molecule: ribosomal RNA, 280 nt
Filed under: uncultured bacterium
Lineage: Bacteria
Description: partial 16S ribosomal RNA
Rfam family: Bacterial small subunit ribosomal RNA
Source: RNAcentral
CCUACGGGUGGCUGCAGUCGAGGAUCAUUUGCAAUGGGCGCAAGCCUGACAGUGCGACGCUGCGUGGAGGAUGAAGGCCUUCGGGUCGUAAACUCCUGUCAUUCGGGAACAAGAGCGGGAUGGUGAAUAAUCCUUCCGAUUGAUGGUACCGGAAGAGGAAGCCACGGCUAACUCUGUGCCAGCAGCCGCGGUAAUACAGAGGUGGCAAGCGUUGUUCGGAUUUACUGGGCGUAAAGGGUGCGUAGGUGGUCUCGUAUGUCGGGUGUGAAAUCCCACUGCC